UACGGAGGGGCUAGCGUUGUUCGGAAUUACUGGCGUAAAGCGCACGUAGGCGGCUUUGCAAGUUAGAGGUGAAAGCCCGGGGCUCAACUCCGGAAUUGCCUUUAAACUGCAUCGCUAGAAUUGUGGAGAGGUAAGUGGAAUUCCGAGUGUAGAGGUGAAAUUCGUAGAUAUUCGGAAGAACACCAGUGGCGAAGGCGACUUACUGGACACAUAUUGACGCUGAGGUGCGAAAGCGUGGGAGCAACAGG
Molecule: ribosomal RNA, 248 nt
Filed under: uncultured bacterium
Lineage: Bacteria
Description: partial 16S ribosomal RNA
Rfam family: Bacterial small subunit ribosomal RNA
Source: RNAcentral